RNAcentral lists this ribosomal RNA (243 nucleotides) under uncultured bacterium. Its description in RNAcentral is "partial 16S ribosomal RNA". It matches the Rfam family "Bacterial small subunit ribosomal RNA", at positions 793 to 1034 of the family's 1533-position model. The record is from RNAcentral.
GUCCACGCCCUAAACGAUGUCAACUAGCCGUUGGGUUCAUUAAAGAGCUUAGUGGCGCAGCUAACGCGAUAAGUUGACCGCCUGGGGAGUACGGCCGCAAGGUUAAAACUCAAAGGAAUUGACGGGGGCCCGCACAAGCGGUGGAGCAUGUGGUUUAAUUCGAUGCAACGCGAAGAACCUUACCAGGCCUUGACAUCCUGCGAACUUUCUAGAGAUAGAUUGGUGCCUUCGGGAACGCAGUGA